GGUGACCAUCCUCAACUCCAAGAAGAACAUGAACAUUGGUAUCUUCCUCAAGCAGUUCAAAAGGUCAGUGAGUGGAAUGAUUGAUGACAUUAUCAACUGUAGAGGAGAAAGAUUUGGUACUGGGAAACUGAAGGAGUUGUGCAAACUACUGCCAGAGGAUGGAGAGGUGCGUCAGCUUCUUGAUUUUAAAGGAGACUAUUCAACUCUCUCCGAGGCAGAUCGGUUCAUGGUACAACUUGUCAAAGUUCCU
Molecule: long non-coding RNA, 250 nt
Organism: Sinocyclocheilus rhinocerous
Lineage: Eukaryota; Metazoa; Chordata; Actinopteri; Cypriniformes; Cyprinidae
Exons: 3
Source: RefSeq, a predicted model, not a curated record